RNAcentral lists this RNase P RNA (328 nucleotides) under bovine gut metagenome. RNAcentral describes it as "Bacterial RNase P class B". It matches the Rfam family "Bacterial RNase P class B". From Rfam's summary of the family: Ribonuclease P (RNase P) is a ubiquitous endoribonuclease, found in archaea, bacteria and eukarya as well as chloroplasts and mitochondria. Its best characterised activity is the generation of mature 5'-ends of tRNAs by cleaving the 5'-leader elements of precursor-tRNAs. The record is from RNAcentral.
UAGACAAACGCUGCAUAUUAUGUAGAGGAAAGUCCAUGCUCACUCAUCCUGGAAUGGAUGGUAAUGUUCGUGCUAAGGGAAAAAAUAACCUUAGGUAGUAUAUUUAUACUAACGGCUCCGAAAUAAUCAAGAACUGAUUAAAGUAGGUAUAAAAGUGCCAUAGAGACGAGAUUGUUAGGAAUAACAAUUGUGGAACGAGGUAAACCCCGCGAGUGAGAAACCCAAAUUUGGUAGGGGAACUCUUACGAAUGAAUUAAUAAAGGAGUAAGGGAGGGAGUAAUCCCUAGAUAAAUGUUUGUCACCUUUUAGGUACAGAACAUGGCUUAUU